UCAUCGGUAAGGUUGGGAAUUAGCUUCCGAAGCCGAGGGUCGCAGGUUCAAAUCCUGCCGGGCGCGCCA
Molecule: transfer RNA, 69 nt
Filed under: Halomonas sp. KO116
Lineage: Bacteria; Pseudomonadati; Pseudomonadota; Gammaproteobacteria; Oceanospirillales; Halomonadaceae
Description: tRNA-Leu
Source: RNAcentral